This 446-nucleotide ribosomal RNA is filed under the name uncultured bacterium. RNAcentral describes it as "partial 16S ribosomal RNA". It matches the Rfam family "Bacterial small subunit ribosomal RNA", at positions 338 to 795 of the family's 1533-position model. The record is from RNAcentral.
CCUACGGGAGGCAGCAGUCGAGAAUCAUUCACAAUGGGGGAAACCCUGAUGGUGCGACGCCGCGUGGGGGAAUGAAGGUCUUCGGAUUGUAAACCCCUGUCAUGUGGGAGCAAAUUAAAAAGAUAGUACCACAAGAGGAAGAGACGGCUAACUCUGUGCCAGCAGCCGCGGUAAUACAGAGGUCUCAAGCGUUGUUCGGAAUCACUGGGCGUAAAGGGUGCGUAGGCUGUUUCGUAAGUCGUGUGUGAAAGGCGCGGGCUCAACCCGCGGACGGCACAUGAUACUGCGAGACUAGAGUAAUGGAGGGGGAACCGGAAGUCUCGGUGUAGCAGUGAAAUGCGUAGAUAUCGAGAGGAACACUCGUGGCGAAGGCGGGUUCCUGGACAUUAACUGACGCUGAGGCACGAAGGCCAGGGGAGCGAAAGGGAUUAGAUACCCUAGUAGUC